UUGGGAAUCUUAGGCAAUGGGCGAAAGCCUGACCUAGCGACGCCGCGUGAGGGAAGAAGGCCUUCGGGUCGUAAACCUCUGUCAUGGGGGACGAAGGAAGUGACGGUACCCCAAGAGGAAGCCCCUGCUAACUACGUGCCAGCAGCCGCGGUAAUACGUAGGGGGCGAGCGUUAUCCGGAAUUAUUGGGCGUAAAGGGCGAGUAGGCGGUCUGUUAAGUCAGGUGUGAAAUUUCAGGGCUCAACCCUGAAACUGCGCUUGAAACUGGCAGGCUAGAGGACAGGAGAGGGAAGUGGAAUUCCCGGUGUAGCGGUGGAAUGCGUAGAUAUCGGGAGGAACACCGAGUGGCGAAGGCGGCUUCCGUGGACUGUACCUGACGCUGAGGAGCGAAAGCUGGGGGA
RNAcentral lists this ribosomal RNA (400 nucleotides) under uncultured bacterium. Its description in RNAcentral is "bacterial SSU rRNA". It matches the Rfam family "Bacterial small subunit ribosomal RNA", at positions 355 to 767 of the family's 1533-position model. The record is from RNAcentral.